CCCAAACAAACAGACCACACGCUAUAUUUCAGUCCAGUAGCAAGGACACCACACCACAACAAACACAAACACACACACAACAGACAACAAACUUAGAGUCACGUAAUCGCUUCUCCUUCACCUGGAGAAGUCCCUCACAAAACUCCCCUGUUAGCUGCUCCUGUUCGCUAGCUCCUUCCAUGAAUAUUCUCUAUUAGUUGUCUAAACUUGCCACUAAACUUCUUUGAUGAAGUAUUCAGAAAGGAUCAUGAACACAGGUAGCUUUUCAUUUGAGCAAAUAUUUAUGAAAAUUUCUGAAGUGUUUGUUCAGGUAAAGUUCUCGAUCAAGGGGCAAUUUUUCAUUAACUAGUUUUGAGUCCUCUCCUUAGCCCUAUCUCUGUACUGGCACAGAGAAAGCUCCCACCCACUUCUGAGUACAUUGGCAAAAUGUCUGCCUGACUAUUGACACUUCCAUUUUGUGCAUGACAGAGUCCAUUACCCUCCCCUCCCCCUUAAAGCUAGUACUGCAGUAUCAUCCCUGGUAAUCAAAGAGAGGAAAUAUAUGAAAUAUGCACUGACUUUCAGUGUCCAGAGAGUGUUUUAGUAAAUCUUUCUUCCUGGAAUAUUAGAGUCCAUUCCCAUUAGCAGCAAUAAUAUAACUUUCAAACCUACAAAACCUGUUUAUCAAAGCAGCACAUGUUCAGCAAGGUAAGGCAGAAAUGUAAAGGGUGGAGUAAGUGGGAAAGUUGCCAUUCUCAUUGUCCUAAUUACAGUAUAUAAUAUUUUGGCAGAGUGACAACUAAGAGUCCUUUUAUUCCAGUAACCUCUAACAAUCAACAGGAUAUUACUUCAAGUAUUGACAUUAAGGCCCUGCUCUUGCAAGAUGCUGAGCACUCUGGCUCCAACCCAACAAAGCAUUGCUCUACAGGAGCAGAGCCGUAGUGUUCAGCAACUUGCAGGAUUGACCUCUUAUGGAGCAACACAUAACUAUGUUCUAGUGCUGUCUACCUAACUCCCAAGCUAACUCAUCUCACCACAAAGGCUCUCUGGAACCAGUAGACAUAAAACACUCUAUGUCGGAAACAUACAGCAUACAGCUCUGAGCAAAGGGGCCUAUUUUCGUCAUGGAUAAGAUAAACAAUGGCCUAAUUGGAGGAAACAUCUCUCCUGGAUGGAGCCCAUCUUGGAGCUGUCAGCUGCAGAAGUUACAAAUGGCUUUGUCGCUUUGUAACAUAAACAGUGUUUGAAAAUGUUGGUGCUGAGCUGUUGAUAUUAAAAUCACCUCAUUAAUCACCUUUGGAAGUAACAAAGUUAUCUAAGCUCCUAUGCUGGCUUCCUAUAGGGGAUAAUAAUAAUAACAAUAAUACUUUUUAAAAAGUUAUUUAUUAUGUAAGGCCUCAGUCAACCUUCAUACUGAGUAAAGUCUGAAAGCCACACAUAUGUCAUUAGAAAUAGUUUCUCAAAAUGUGGAAACUGAUCAGGUCAAGACCAGGUGUACAAUGUGUGGAAUGUAAAGGACACUUAAUACUGUAAUAUGUAAAGGAGUUAUGGGUGCCUUAUACAGGAAGGUUGGCACUACGAGAAAGAAAUGUUGGCAUUUCUCUUUAUUUAUUUUUGUAUUUUAUGUGUUUGGAGAACUGGGGCAGUAACAAGGAUUAGGAUGGAAUCUUGCAGCCUGGAAAGGAAGGAAAAAGGAAGAAUCAUUUUGCUGAAGGAUGCUUACUAGUUUGAUGAUUUUUGUGAAUUCUCACUAGAAAGGGAAAACCAUGGGUGGUGAAGUGAAUCCCCACUUUAGGGAAGCUAGCCUGCUGGCCCCGCCCCUUCUGCCUGAGGCCCCACCCCCCACACACUGGAGCCCUGAAACCUGCCCCCCAUAACAGGAGGUGCCCUGAGGCCCCCUCCUUCCCCCCCGUGACCAGAGGAGCCCUGCCUUGCCCACCCCAGCCUCCCUGGAUCAGCCCCACUAGCCCUAGGGCUGGAGACAGUGCUGUGCCAGGCCGCUCCCCCUGCGCCAGGCCAUGCUGGCCCCAGUGUAGGCUGAGCCAAGCUGCUCCUGCUCCCUCCCACGCCUGAGCAUCAGGCUGGGCCAGCCCCAGCACUGGGCUGAGUUGAGCCGUCCCCCCCGGAGUGCCAUGCCAGCCCCAGCACCGGCCCAGCCACUCCCCCCCCCACUCCCAGCCCAAAUGCUGGACCGAGCUGCUUCCUCCCGCCCAAGUGCUGGGCAGAGCCGGCGCUCCACUCCCCCCUGACCAAGCUGGCGACCCCAGUGCCCAGCUGAGCCACCUCACUUCCCCACCAGAUCCCUGCACCCGCAACUUGCUUGCAGCAUCCCUCCUCACUCCCCCGCCCCUGAAGAGAAGCAACGCAGCAAGUAGCGGGGACCUGUGGGGGAGUGGAGUGCAGGUAGGCAGGCGGCAGAAGCAGCAGGCAGUGGGUGGGGGAGACCUCGGGAAGGGGCAGGGCCACCAUGACCCAGGUGUCCCUCGGGGGCUUAGCCUUCCCUGGCCUAUUAUACCCUUCUCCUUGUAACAAUCUUUUACGUACUUGAAAACUGUUAUUGUGUCC
Trachemys scripta elegans is the source of this 2544-nucleotide long non-coding RNA. RefSeq lists it as uncharacterized. NCBI's taxonomy places the organism in Eukaryota, Metazoa, Chordata, Testudines, Emydidae. The record is from RefSeq and is a predicted model, not a curated record. The transcript is spliced from 3 exons.